Molecule: ribosomal RNA, 491 nt
Filed under: uncultured bacterium
Lineage: Bacteria
Description: bacterial SSU rRNA
Rfam family: Bacterial small subunit ribosomal RNA
Source: RNAcentral
GAUGAACGCUAGCUACAGGCUUAACACAUGCAAGUCGAGGGGAAACGAUAGAGAAAGCUUGCUUUUUCUAGGCGUCGACCGGCGCACGGGUGAGUAACGCGUAUGUAAUCUGCCUGUAACAGAGGGAUAACCCGGAGAAAUCCGGCCUAAUACCUCAUAAUACAUAUUAUUCGCAUGAGUUUUAUGUUAAAGAAAUUCGGUUACAGAUGAACAUGCGUUCCAUUAGCUGGUUGGCGGGGUAACGGCCCACCAAGGCGACGAUGGAUAGGGGUUCUGAGAGGAAGGUCCCCCACACUGGUACUGAGACACGGACCAGACUCCUACGGGAGGCAGCAGUGAGGAAUAUUGGUCAAUGGGCGAGAGCCUGAACCAGCCAAGUAGCGUGCAGGAUGACGGCCCUAUGGGUUGUAAACUGCUUUUAUAAGGGAAUAAAGUGGGAGUCGUGACUCUUUUUGCAUGUACCUUAUGAAUAAGGACCGGCUAAUUCCGUG